AGUUAAAUGGCUGGAUCAUAUGGAUAUAUUAUUAACUUUUUAAGAAGUUGAAAAACUUCUUUCCAAAGUGUUUGUACCACAUACUUUCAACUAGUAGU
RNAcentral lists this microRNA precursor (98 nucleotides) under Marmota monax (woodchuck). The record is from RNAcentral. Lineage: Eukaryota; Metazoa; Chordata; Mammalia; Rodentia; Sciuridae.